GGAGCUUGCUCCCUUAGGUCAGCGGCGGACGGGUGAGUAACACGUGGGUAACCUGCCUGUAAGACUGGGAUAACUCCGGGAAACCGGGGCUAAUACCGGAUGCUUGAUUGAACCGCAUGGUUCAAUCAUAAAAGGUGGCUUUUAGCUACCACUUGCAGAUGGACCCGCGGCGCAUUAGCUAGUUGGUGAGGUAACGGCUCACCAAGGCGACGAUGCGUAGCCGACCUGAGAGGGUGAUCGGCCACACUGGGACUGAGACACGGCCCAGACUCCUACGGGAGGCAGCAGUAGGGAAUCUUCCGCAAUGGACGAAAGUUUGACGGAGCAACGCCGCGUGAGUGAUGAAGGUUUUCGGAUCGUAAAACUCUGUUGUUAGGGAAGAACAAGCACCGUUCGAAUAGGGCGGUACCUUGACGGUACCUAACCAGAAAGCCACGGCUAACUACGUGCCAGCAGCCGCGGUAAUACGUAGGUGGCAAGCGUUGUCCGGAAUUAUUGGGCGUAAAGCGCGCGCAGGCGGUUUCUUAAGUCUGAUGUGAAAGCCCCCGGCUCAACCGGGGAGGGUCAUUGGAAACUGGGGAACUUGAGUGCAGAAGAGGAGAGUGGAAUUCCACGUGUAGCGGUGAAAUGCGUAGAGAUGUGGAGGAACACUAGUGGCGAAGGCGACUCUCUGGUCUGUAACUGACGCUGAGGCGCGAAA
Molecule: ribosomal RNA, 700 nt
Filed under: uncultured Bacilli bacterium
Lineage: Bacteria; Bacillati; Bacillota; Bacilli
Description: bacterial SSU rRNA
Rfam family: Bacterial small subunit ribosomal RNA
Source: RNAcentral